RNAcentral lists this small RNA (28 nucleotides) under Bombyx mori (domestic silkworm). Its description in RNAcentral is "ovarian small RNA-22342". The record is from RNAcentral. Lineage: Eukaryota; Metazoa; Arthropoda; Insecta; Lepidoptera; Bombycidae.
UAGCCAGUUUGGCCGCAGUGGCGUUCGC